AUUGAACGCUGGCGGCAGGCCUAAUACAUGCAAGUCGAACGAGUGGCGGACGGGUGAGUAACGUCUGGGAAAUUGCCUGAUGGCGGGGGAUAACUACUGGAAAAGGUAGCUAAUACCGCAUACCUUCGGAUUUUCCAUGAUGGGAUUCGCCAGUAGGUGGGGUAACGGCUCACCUAGGCGACGAUCCAUAGCUGGUCGGAGAGGAUGACAGGCCACACUGGAACUGAGACACGGUCCAGACUCCUACGGGAGGCAGCAGUGGGGAAUAUUGCACAAUGGGCGAAAGCCUGAUGCAGCCAUGCCGCGUGUGUGAAGAAGGCCUUCGGGUUGUAAAGUACUUUCAGCGGGGAGGCGUUACCCGCAGAAGAAGCACCGGCUAACUCCGUGCCAGCAGCCGCGGUAAUUC
This 406-nucleotide ribosomal RNA is filed under the name uncultured bacterium. RNAcentral describes it as "partial 16S ribosomal RNA". It matches the Rfam family "Bacterial small subunit ribosomal RNA", at positions 30 to 526 of the family's 1533-position model. The record is from RNAcentral.